MicroRNA precursor from Xiphophorus maculatus (southern platyfish), 98 nucleotides. Ensembl annotates it as microRNA 18a. Its record names the gene mir18a. NCBI's taxonomy places the organism in Eukaryota, Metazoa, Chordata, Actinopteri, Cyprinodontiformes, Poeciliidae. The record is from Ensembl.
GUACUGUCUUUGUGCUAAGGUGCAUCUAGUGCAGAUAGUGAAAUAGACUAGCACCUACUGCCCUAAGUGCUCCUUCUGGCAUAAGGGGCUGUAAUAUG